This is a long non-coding RNA of Formica exsecta, 1696 nucleotides long. RefSeq lists it as uncharacterized. The record is from RefSeq and is a predicted model, not a curated record. NCBI's taxonomy places the organism in Eukaryota, Metazoa, Arthropoda, Insecta, Hymenoptera, Formicidae. The transcript is spliced from 2 exons.
CAGGGUCAUGUCCUUGACAACAUAUGUCAAGGUCAAAGUCAUCGGUGAGGUGUAACCUAAUAUGUAUAUUUACCGCUCGGUUUUUGCCGUCAAUUUGCUGUCAGGUUAUGUCAGCAAGCUUUGUCACCAAAACACAAGCUUAAUGCGGACACAGAUGGCACUGGAUUUGUUAUCAAGUUUUGAGCGAAUUUGAUGCCAAUUUGUUAUCAAAUUGCUUACUGAGAUAUUAUUGGUGAUUCUCAUUUUUUAGCUAUAAUAUUUCCUGGCAGGAUGUAAGUGUUCCAAAGUUUCAAAUUUUUAUUUUUUGGAUUUUAUUCGAAGUUUUAUCAAAGACAGGAUGUUUUUAUACAUUUAUACAUUCAUUAUACAUUUAUUUUCCAGGAUAUUUGAGAUUGAGGAAGUAUUACUACGUUAGCGACUGAUUUUUUAUCAAAUUUCCGAUGGGAAACAAAAUUGACUUUACAUUCAUCGAAGAAUCUGUGAUUCCUUAUGCUUUGCUACUAUGUAGAUAUAUGUAUAAAAAAAAAUUUGGCUAUAUAUUGUAACAUUCAAGUCGGAAAGUAACAAAAACUGGAAGUGCCGAAGUGUUGACAUUAGGCGAGUUGAUAAAAAUGAAAAAAAUUGUAAGAAGUAUUUUAAUUGUAAAUUGUCUAUAAUUCGAGUAGAAAAAAGAACAGAAAGAGAGAGAGAGAGAGAGAGGUGCAUAUAAACAUUAGUAUGAUUACAUAAGCUGCGUUUUCUUUUGAAUUUAAUUGUGGCAUUUUUAAAAUAGGGUAAGAACAGUAUCGAGAAGUUUUUAUUUCAAUAUUUACGAUAUCUAUAUAUCAUCUCGACAAUUCACACAACAUUCAAAAUCUGGAUGAUAAUUUUUUGCAAUUGUAACAUGAAACUUGUUUAGAUUUCUUGGAAUCUCUUGUAACUUGUUAUUCUUAUCAUACUAUGAAAUACAAAUGAUUAGCAAAUAAAUCUUUUCUUCCGAUUGAUCACAAUACACUGAAUGAAUCUGUAUAUUUCUUGUUUUUUUUAUCUCGUUUAUUUUGAAAGAAAAUAUACAAAAAACCACAAAUAAAGAACAAAUUGUGCAUAGAAAAAGAAAACAGAUGAUUCUUAUCUUAAUAUUGUGAAGAAAAUUUGCUUGAUGCAAUCGCAGAUUAACCGUUUGAUGAAAUUAAUGAUACAAUUCGAUUAGAAAACGUGACGUUAAUACAAAAUAAUUUAUAAACAAGGUAUUAUACAAAUAAUAUUAUCAUUUUAUUUCAGUUUUUCAUGAUUAUUUAUGAUAUACUUUAGAAUUACAACACUUAUAUUCUUAAAGAAGUUUUUUGUUUAAGAUGACAUUUUUAAUAUUAAAAUUAAAUAUUAUCGAAAUAGUAUAACAAAAACAAAAAAAUAUUUUUAGAUCUGCAUUGCAAGGAAAAUUUGAUUGAUGCAUCUGCAGAACAAUCGUAGUUAUAAUGAUGAAGUUAAUGCAAACGUGCUAAUCCGACUAGAAAACAAGAUAUUGAAUUCAUUGAUUAAUAAGCAAAGUACAAUGCACGUAAUUCUAUUUUAGUUACAAUUAUUUUUUUAUAUAUCUUAGAAUUAUAAUAUUUAUUCUUCAACAAUUUUACCGGAAUGGUCCCAGCAAACACAGUUAUGUAACUAUCAUAUUGUCUAAAUAUAACGAUGAAAUAUAACAUGCUCGUUGUAACAUAAA